Molecule: ribosomal RNA, 468 nt
Filed under: uncultured bacterium
Lineage: Bacteria
Description: partial 16S ribosomal RNA
Rfam family: Bacterial small subunit ribosomal RNA
Source: RNAcentral
GACGAACGCUGGCGGCGUGCUUAACACAUGCAAGUCGAACGGAAAGGCCCUGCUUUUGUGGGGUGCUCGAGUGGCGAACGGGUUAGUAACACGUGAGUAACCUGCCCUUGACUUUGGGAUAACUUCAGGAAACUGGGGCUAAUACCGGAUAGGAGCUCCUGCUGCAUGGUGGGGGUUGGAAAGUUUCGGCGGUUGGGGAUGGACUCGCGGCUUAUCAGCUUGUUGGUGGGGUAGUGGCUUACCAAGGCUUUGACGGGUAGCCGGCCUGAGAGGGUGACCGGCCACAGUGGGACUGAGAUACGGACCAGACUCCUACGGGAGGCAGCAGUGGGGAAUAUUGCACAAUGGGCGGAAGCCUGAUGCAGCAACGCCGCGUGCGGGAUGACGGCCUUCGGGUUGUAAACCGCUUUCGCCUGUGACGAAGCGUGAGUGACGGUAAUGGGUAAAGAAGCACCGGCUAACUACGUG